This 87-nucleotide non-coding RNA is filed under the name Pseudofrankia inefficax. RNAcentral describes it as "Frankia inefficax ZTP sequence". It matches the Rfam family "ZMP/ZTP riboswitch aptamer (pfl RNA motif)". Rfam says of the family: Previously known as pfl RNA. ZMP is also known as AICAR. Lineage: Bacteria; Bacillati; Actinomycetota; Actinomycetes; Frankiales; Frankiaceae. The record is from Rfam by way of RNAcentral.
GGGGUGAGUCGCGACUGGCGUGCUCGGGUGGAAUCAACCACCGGGAAGCGACCGAUCGGCGAGGCACCGUGCGCCUGGGUGCCGCCG